Ictidomys tridecemlineatus (thirteen-lined ground squirrel) is the source of this 2356-nucleotide non-coding RNA. The record is from RefSeq and is a predicted model, not a curated record. Lineage: Eukaryota; Metazoa; Chordata; Mammalia; Rodentia; Sciuridae.
ACUUUUCUGCAAAAUCAGAAAGGGUUUUGGAAGUUUAAGUGAAGGGGAUUCAGAAGGGGAAAGCGUCGAAUCUUGCCACAGUGAGGCUGUUGUGCAGCAUCAAUCCAGACAAGUUCCUGUGGGGUCUGUCUUGGUGGCUUGUUCUCCAGGACGAUUGAUACAGAGGAGUCAGUCCUUAGUGUGCUGCAGUCCUCCUUAUCUUUGACAGGACAGCCCUCGGCUUUGGGGAGUUUGGAACCCUGCGAUGCUGGGAGCAGAGAAGGCCCAUCCCUGACUCCGCGUGAGGAUGAUCCAGCCUCCCUCCCUGGGGGCUCCCUCCGGCCACCUCCUUGCCCUGCCCGCCCCACCAGGAGCCUGACUUCCAUGUCAGCCCUCGAGGGCCACCUCCCCGGGUGGGAAAGCCACCCAUAGGCACCUGAAGGAGACGGGCCUCCCUCAGGGCCCAACAGGCAGAGGCCAUCGAGGAGAUGAGAGUGUUUCCUCCUGUGGGUCCUGGCUGGCGUCGGAGCCUGGAGGCUCUUGAGGUCAGCAUGGGCGGCCAGAUUAGGGCUGGGCAGGGCGGACACCGCCUGAGAGAGCAGGCCGGACGCAGUAGCCAAGGGGGCCUCGGCUUGGUGGCUCACGUGCGGUGAUCUCAGACUGGCCGUGGGUCUGUGGUAACCCUGGGGACAUCUUCCCCAAGGCCAGCCCCCAGUGGACAGCAGUGAGUCCGCCUUGAGCCUCGUUAGGAAACGUGCCCCAGAGAGCGCCUUCACGCUCGCUCGUGCCUGCCUUCUGCUCAGCCUGGGGGGGGACUGGGUUGUGUUGGGGCUGCUCUCCUUGUCCUUCCCUGCCAUCUGGGUCUGGCCUCAGCAGGGGACCCCCUCAUCUUAAAGGCAGUGGCAUGCCUCAUUAGCCAUCUCCUCCCAUGUCAGGCAGUCGGGCUUUUUCCAAUGACUAAAACCGGAGGAGAAAAAACCCUGAGCCCUUGGUUCAGAUCAAGGCAGCAGAUCCAGGGGACUUAUUUUCCCCUGGAGUAGUACCAAAUCUCGCAGGGACAGUUGGCUCUAGAGAUUUUCUUAUUUUAUAAAAACUAAUUUAAAAGGACUCUCACAUCUUAAAACAGAAGUUCUUUCGGUUCGUUUGCUUGCCAUAAGUAAUUCACACCCAGGUGACCUUUUUGGAGACUUUGAUGAAGCAUUAUACUCAAGGGUCAUGAAAACCAAACUCAGAAAGACCAAGAUCCAGUUUUGCUUCCCAGAGAAACUGGCCGUGGAACUUCUGGCUCUGGUCGGAUUUUUUUUUUCUCUACAGCUAAGCCCAAAAUGUCAUAGAAAUUAUUUUUCUAAAUAAGAUGAGUUUCAGAGAUGAAGACUGUAUCUGAAUAUCAAAGUGUUGUGGAUUACAGUCGGCCUAGUUGUCUUGGAUCCUAACUUGAAAAGACUGGCAGGUUGCUCCAGUACGAAAAUAGAAGUGUGAGGCGACGUUAUGCACACAAACUACCUCUCAGUCCCCAAGGAGGGGAACGUUUGCUCGAGGCAAACAAGUACUUUUACCAGUAAUCUCCUGUGGAAAGAGACCAUCUGACAGUUUCCUACAAACCAGCCAAAGUUCCCUUCAGCACCGCGGCUCUACACGGAGCUCAGCUCCCAGGACUGCAUUUCCUCCUAGAGCAAAAGAAGGCAGUGGCGGCCAUUAGCAGGGACAUCAUUCAGCACUGAACACCAGCCCGAGUGUCACUGAGGAAGUUGCUGUUAACUAACCUUCCUCUCCUGGAACACACACAUGUGUACACACACACACACACACACACAGCCUUCAUUUGAAGUGUCAACUCCAACUGUUACUCUGACAGCCCAUUUGGAAGGCACUGAAAGUAGAAGCUUUCAUCAUAAUUGUCUGUUUUCUUCCUCACCUGGGACAGCAGAGCAGUGACUCAAAGGCCUAUCCAGGAGUGGACGGCUGACUGCUGGGGUUCCCCCGGCCUGCCUGCCCCACGCCUGAGGAUGACAGGCUUCUGGCCUGGAGAGCGCUGCCUGCUGCCCGGGGGUCCUCCCAGAAAGGCCUCCCACCCUACAGAAUCACAUCCGGGGCAUCUGCAAGUGAGGGCCCACCUUGGAUGGGACCCCAGGGUAGAAAGAGGACAUGAGGAGCCAACUAAAAAAACAAACAAACAAGGAUCAAUUAAGGACUUUAGUUAGUAGUACUCUGUCAAUUUCGAUUCGUUCAUUAUGACAAAUGUGCCAUAUUAAUGUAAGAAAUUAAUAAUAAUAUGAGAAACUAGGUGUGGGGCAUACAAGAACUCUGUGCUUUUUCUAUAGAUCUGAAACUGUUCUAAAAGUUUAUUUUAAAAAUUAAUCUUUCUUACAACUAUUUU